Tribolium castaneum (red flour beetle) is the source of this 1095-nucleotide long non-coding RNA. RefSeq lists it as uncharacterized. The transcript is spliced from 3 exons. The record is from RefSeq and is a predicted model, not a curated record. NCBI's taxonomy places the organism in Eukaryota, Metazoa, Arthropoda, Insecta, Coleoptera, Tenebrionidae.
UGAAGGUAUUUUUUGGCAAAGUGUCAAACUUUUUGAUGAUUUUAAAUCAUUUAUUGUGAAACAAUAAUGUUUUCGGCAAGAGAAUACUGCGACAUGUACUUAUGGUUUAUGGUGCAAGUGAAGGAAAUGCUUUAGAUGCGGUGAGACAAUAUGGCAUCUGAUAUCCCCAGCAACGACAACCAGGCAUUAAUAUUUUUCGACGACUCGAUCAGAGACUUCGAGAAAAUCGCACUCCGAUUCCGGAAUAUAAAGGAAUCCAUCCUGGAAGGCCUCGCGUAAGAAGAACUGUUGAGACAGAGAAAGCAAUUAUUGAUGCGGUUGCCGAAAUCCAAGCAUCAGUUGUCGUCAGAAAAAUUUUAUGGACGGAUGAAUCUUUAUUUUCCAACAACGGAAUUUUUAAUAGGCACAAUCACCAUUAUUACGCAAUAAAUAAUCCAUUUUUGAAUUUUGAAACGGGACGUCAGCACAGAUUUUCGUUGAAUAUCGGCUAGGAUUUUUUGCAAUUUGAUUUAGAAAAUCAUUUAUUGGAUGAUGUGCCUCUGGCAGUCAGAAGAGAGAUGUGGCUACAAAUGGACGGUGCUGGUUCUCAUUACGCUGUACCAGUUCGAAAAUGGCUUAACGAAAAUUACGAAAAUAGGCGGUUAGGCCGCGGCAGUGCUACUCCUUGGCCGGGUAGGUCUCCAGGCUUAAAUUCUGUUGAUUUUUUUAUAGGGCCAUAUCAAAGACAUUGUAUUUACUCCACCAGUGCUGGAAAAUCUAGCCACUUUGCGAAAAAGAUUUUUUGUAGCCUUUAACUCAGUUACUCUGGACAUGUUAGAACGUACCACAAAUUCGGUUAAAAGACGUGCCGAAGCCUGCUUAUUAGCAAAUGGCAGAACAUUUCAACAUUUAUUAUAAAAUACAUUGUUUGUUUUUAAUUUUACUGUUUAUUAAAUUGCUUUGUUCCUAAAUUAGUUUUCCCUAAUUGUUGUAAAAAUAUCUAUCUAUUCCGGUUCCCAAGGAAACAUUUGUACCUGAUGCUAAUUUCGACUAUCGCUAUUGAAGUAACAUAGCACAAUGUUGCCGCUUUGGUCAUUACUUUUUAAAGAAUUACUG